AACGUAGGAGGCAAGCGUUAUCCGGAGUUACUGGGCGUAAAGCGCGUGUAGGUGGAUCGGUAAGUUACUUAUAAAAGCUCCUGGCUAAACUAGGAGAGGUUGAGUGAUACUGCCAGUCUUGAAUAGAGGAGAGGUUGACGGAAUUCCGCGUGUAGUGGUGAAAUGCGUAGAGAUGCGGAGGAACACCGAUGGCGAAGGCAAUCCCCUGGGCCUGCACUGACGCUCAUGCACGAAAGCGUGGGGAGCAAACAGG
RNAcentral lists this ribosomal RNA (253 nucleotides) under uncultured bacterium. RNAcentral describes it as "partial 16S ribosomal RNA". It matches the Rfam family "Bacterial small subunit ribosomal RNA", at positions 524 to 776 of the family's 1533-position model. The record is from RNAcentral.